This is a long non-coding RNA of Sycon ciliatum, 697 nucleotides long. RefSeq lists it as uncharacterized. Lineage: Eukaryota; Metazoa; Porifera; Calcarea; Leucosolenida; Sycettidae. The record is from RefSeq and is a predicted model, not a curated record. The transcript is spliced from 4 exons.
CUGUCGUGGUGCCGGUGCCUGCCAGCAAGCAACUGUAUUCUGCCCAAGUAUUGUGCUCGAACUGGUGACACGCGCGAGCUGAUCUAUGCCUGUGUAGGGUUGGGAACCAAGUUGAUCUAGCAGGCAUCUGAAUGAGAAAUGGCCAACUUGCUUCGCAUACUAAAAUUGUCUUCAGUGCUGAUCAUCUGUGUUGGAUCUUUUGCAGAAGGAGUCAAGUAUGUCACUGAAUUCAACUGCAACACUACCAAUGGUGAAUACUUGAUCAGCGACAGUUCAUGGUCUGUUGCGUCCUCUACUGUAGCCAGCAAAACGUGCACAGACAUCACAGUGACUUUAAAGUUAAUUACUACUAACGACAUCAAUGAGUGUUUCCAGGCCUACCGAGCACACAUGGAACUAUUGCUAGGGAGAACGGUGACUGCUUACCUAGCAACUGGAUGUUACCCUGAGACGGCAACCUGUGAUUAUCAAUCCGUCGUUAUAUGCAAAGAUAAGAACACACUAGCUUCUCCAGGAAACACAAAAUGUAUGGCUGACGUACAACUUCCGAAUGGAAAAGUCUUGUAUCCAUCUACUAGAGUAUUCCCGGCCGGAAUAUAUUUCUUGUGCAACUCUGGAUAUCAACAUUCGGGACCGUUUCAAUACAAAUGUAAGAUGGACGGCUCAUGGUUAUCAGACUCAUCAGUUGGGCCGUCUU